CCUACGGGAGGCAGCAGUGAGGAAUAUUGGUCAAUGGCCGUAAGGCUGAACCAGCCAUGUCGCGUGAAGGAAGAAGGAUCUAUGGUUUGUAAACUUCUUUUAUAGGGGAAUAAAGGUAUCCACGUGUGGAUGUUUGCAUGUACCCUAUGAAUAAGCAUCGGCUAACUCCGUGCCAGCAGCCGCGGUAAUACGGAGGAUGCGAGCGUUAUCCGGAUUUAUUGGGUUUAAAGGGUGCGUAGGUUGUUUUUUAAGUCAGCGGUGAAAUUUUGUGGCUCAACCAUAAAAUUGCCGUUGAAACUGGAAGACUUGAGUGUGUUUGAGGUAGGCGGAAUGUGUGGUGUAGCGGUGAAAUGCAUAGAUAUCACGCAGAACUCCGAUUGCGAAGGCAGCUUACUAAGCCAUAACUGACACUGAAGCACGAAAGCGUGGGGAUCAAACAGGAUUAGAUACCCCUGUAGUC
RNAcentral lists this ribosomal RNA (460 nucleotides) under uncultured bacterium. Its description in RNAcentral is "partial 16S ribosomal RNA". It matches the Rfam family "Bacterial small subunit ribosomal RNA", at positions 338 to 795 of the family's 1533-position model. The record is from RNAcentral.